Hemicordylus capensis (graceful crag lizard) is the source of this 758-nucleotide long non-coding RNA. RefSeq lists it as uncharacterized. Lineage: Eukaryota; Metazoa; Chordata; Lepidosauria; Squamata; Cordylidae. The transcript has 3 exons. The record is from RefSeq and is a predicted model, not a curated record.
AAGGACUUCAGCCAAUUAUUUUACUAGGGACAGGUACCAGAAAAUAUGAGCUGUCACUGGUAAAUAGGACAGUUGGAAGAAUGUAUUCUCUUGUGCUUGAGAAGGCUUCCCUUGGGAGAACAAUCAAAGUGUGCAUCUUUCACACAUCUGCAUAGAAUUUUUUCAGGUGAAAAGCACAGAGCAUCUUUCACCAGCAUCAGCCUCAGCAUCCACAGCAGGGUGCUGAGAAGAAGGCAGGUAGAUAAGGAAUUGGAAGUGUGUGGUUUUGGAGGAGAUUCUCCUCACUCUUUCUACAGCAAGCAGUGGCAUCUUCCCAAAGCUCUUCUAAAGAUGAGUGUUGCUUGAAAGAAUGGUGGAGUUUUGGCUCCAACACCGUCUAUUAUACAAAUUCACAUCCCUGUCACUAAGUACUGUGACUGGGAAGGAGAUGAACCAACUGCAGCAUGCAUUUAGUGGCUUCAAUCCUGUGGAAACAAAGCAGAGAUGUCAGUCACCUCAUUGCUCUCUUGCUCCCCCAGCCACCCAGCAUUUUCCAUAUAUGGUGCAUCAUCGGAUUUGAAGACAACCAGGUUUUGUAACAUCAUCCAGCAAAGAAAAACAUGUAAACAGAUAUCCAAUCAUCAGAUGGAGCUUGAUACAACUUGAUAUGACAUGGAAAAUAUUGUAUUUGGCAGUGCUAAUAUUAGCUAUUUUGUCUCGAAAACUCUACAAUUCAAAAUCUGAUCUGAUUAUUGUUUUGAUUUUAUGCACAGCCCUAU